Molecule: long non-coding RNA, 3073 nt
Organism: Chroicocephalus ridibundus (black-headed gull)
Lineage: Eukaryota; Metazoa; Chordata; Aves; Charadriiformes; Laridae
Exons: 5
Source: RefSeq, a predicted model, not a curated record
UUUUUAUAUGGCUUAUUUGUUUAAUUAUUUUUUGUGUAUAUAUAUAUAUAUAUAUUUGGUUUUGAAAGUUCAGUAAUCAAAAUCAACUUACCAGAGAGGGAAUUGAAAAAGAGAGAUCUUAAGUGACACGCUGAGAAUCAGUGAUAACUUGUUCAGUGGCAAAAUUGUGGUUUUAAUGCCUCAAGAGUGUCAAGAACUGUCUGGAGGCAGUGGUGCUGCACCUCUUGUUCAGGAAGUUUUUUUCCCCAAAAUAUUAACUUACUGCAGGAGCAUUGGAUGAGCCUAUCCUGCUUUUAGGAAGUGUAGCGAGGGAACUGAAUGGCGUUUUGAUAUAGGCUAACCAGAGAGUUCCAGAAACUCCUCACAUAUUUUCAGGUUUUGAGGUAACCAACAGCAUUCUUGUGCACUUAGUUCUUUUUUUUUUUUUCUUCUUAUUGAAAACUACUUUUUCAACCAAUUAUGUUUAAACUAUUUAAUGUCUGUGAAGAAUCUAUUUGCUGAGUCAUGAUGUCUAAAUCUGUAGCAGAAUAUAAAGGUAUUGAGUGAAUGUGAAAAACUACUUAUCUGAAUGGUCGGUAGUGACGCUGGGGGUAUCCAUUGUAGGGGAACCAGAACUGUAGACCUUGGGGCUGCAUCUUUUUAAGGAUGAAGUGCAAUCGCCUAUCUUCUCGUGCCAGGACUUUUCAGAAGCGCUGGGGGUCUGAAUUAUUUUUUAAGUGUUUAUUCUACUUCAGAGCUGGGUUAUGUGAGGUCUCCAAAUUUCCUGCUUUACACCAUUAGGACUAACAAUUUGCGAAGGUCUUCUGUUGAUGGAAUUAGAAAUAAUUCUGCUGCUCCACAGACUAAUACAAAUAAUUUCAGAUGCUUAUGAUUCUAGGGGAAAAUAAAGCUGUUCUCAUGAGCCCAAAAUGUCCAGAAGAUUGUGAAGUUGUUUCCCCUGGUUUCUCCAUCAGAAUGGCUGUUGUGGUUAAUUUUGUUUCAAGAAAAUUGAUGUCAAGACCUGACUUUUUUUCUUUCCCUUCCCUUGGAUGCAUGGACUUGCUUCAUUUCCAUCUAGAAUACGAUUUUUCUGUUAGCAUGAAUGAACAUGUAAUUCCUUCAGAACCUUUCAAAAAUAGAAGUGUGACUUCAACUGUUCCUAGACAAAAUAUAAUCCUGGCUUCACAGAUACUUCUGUGAGUUGUUACAGCCCAGCUCUUGAGAAUACAAAGUUAAGUUUGCAGAUGUUUUGGCAUGAUUGGUCUUGAGAAGCCUACCAAGAAGCAAGCAGAAAAACUUUUGGUGGACAAGGUGAGUUACCUUUGCCUUUCUUAUUUUGAUCCCCUUGAUUCAAGGGGUCAUUGAGUUUAAAAAUUCCCAGCUUUGCAUUGUUUUAAUUUUGUUAACCCUUAUUUAGCAUCCAAAAGAAUACUUCCUGCACAUAAGUUUGGGUUUAUCAGGUUUCCAGCUUCAAUCCCCACCACUCUUUCUGAGCAUAAAGCCUGGGAUGGUGAGGGCAUGGUGGAGAGAAGAAUGGGAAGAAACAUGGGGAUGAGUCUGUCUUUUGACAUUUGAAUGUGGCCACGUGGUUACGUUUCAGUAUGACUACCAGUGCCUGGAUUACGCUUCAGCUUGAUUGAUUGAGGCAGAUCUUGGAAAAAAUGCAAAAUUUCAAGGAGCUGCUGAGGCCAAAGCAAUGUUUCAGGAGGGAUGAGGAGGACCAAAAGAACUCCAUCACCAUCUUCUCAUUUUGUAUUGCAUUUCAGAAUCUUUGCACAUCGAACCACUCUUCAUCCUGUGAGUACCUCAUGAGUAUGCCUGACUUUAAGAAAUGAAUCUCGCCUAAAAAGAUGAUUUAAUUCCCUUGAGCCUUAUUUUCAGAAGGAUAAUGGUGCAGCUUCUAAAGCACAGAAAACUAUCUUUUAGCAAUGUCAGCAAUCCAGUGAAGGACUCACUGAAGGAAACUGCUUCAAAUCCUGGCUUCAUGCAAAUUAGGAAGUUUGAACAAGGAAAAGACCUAUAGAGGAACACCACUGGGACAUCCUCUGGCCUCUCUUUUACAGCAGGUGCGUCGAGACUCAUGGGGACCAUUUGUGCAAGCCCACAGGCACUGGCUGCCAUGGAGCACCUCAGCUCUUUUGCACUAUGAUCAGAAGGCAGCUGGUCUCUGGGACACCCAAGACCCUGUCUGUGAUGUGGACUACAGGCACUGUGGAAACGUGUAUCCCUCGGGACUGACAGAAAAGUAUAAGAAAUAUUGCCAAGUGUGUUAGAGACCAACAGGGAAACCCCAUGUGUGAAGAGUGAUCAUGCGGCUCUUCGUAUCGAGGACCAGAAAACCAGUCCAAGAACUCCACAGCAGACACGCAAUAAUGCUAUCUCCCCAAACAGACAUCAUCUUAAUCUCUAUGUAUUUCCAAAACUGAAAAGCCAAGUUUAAGAAUCCCUCUAAAAUUCUUGGCAUUCCCGAUAUAGUAUCAGUUUUGAAUCCUAAGGUCUGGGCUUCAGAUUUCCUGAAAUAAUUAACUCUGUUGAACAUGUUCUGGGAAAAACCCCUGUAUGACAGACUUGCUCACCAGCCAAGACUGACCUGGUAGGGAAGACAUUUCCAACAAUCUUGUGAUUGAAGAUUUUUUAUGUAACUGCUGAUGAUAAAAAGAAUGCACUGAAUCUGACUCACAAGCGUUAAGGGUGGGACUAAUAUUGCUGAAUUAAUACAUUUCUAGCAAAUUUUAUGAUGCAUACAGAGGCCCUAAUUCUUUCCUUUGUAUGAUAUUUUAAUUUCUUUUCCCCUGAACGUUUCUCAUGGCACUCAUACCAUCUCUUCUUUCUGCUGGCUUCUCUCUCCCUUUUAUAGAUAGAAAGCAUGCUACUUCAUCAAAAUUUUCAGUAUAGAUUCCGAAUAUAUUUCAUGGAAUCUGCUGCUUAAAGUCCAACUUUGUCCCAUACAGCAUUGACAGUACUGUACUGCAGAGGGUCAAGGAUAGUAUGAAGACAGUGGACAUUUUUUUUUUCCCUUUUGCACUGAAUAUUAUGGAAUUGUUAUCACUGGAAGCUUUCGAUUUAAGUCUUUAUAUUGAAAAAUGAGAGCAUU